This 495-nucleotide long non-coding RNA is filed under the name Homo sapiens (human). RNAcentral's name for it is "novel transcript". The record is from RNAcentral. Lineage: Eukaryota; Metazoa; Chordata; Mammalia; Primates; Hominidae.
CUCAUCUAUAAGCAAGGACACCUCUGGAAGACGCAAGGCCUGGAUGUCACAGCCAGCCUUAUCAAUAAACAAUCUUCUGCCUUGACAGACGGAAGAGGAAGGGCCAAUUCAAUGAAUACUCAGAUCAAGUGUCUGUCUGGAAAGCUGGCAGUCUUCCAGAAAUACAAUUAGGGCCCAUUCCAGUGGAACAGAAGUGCUACUUUGGGGGUGGACUGAAACAAGUUGCUGGGCUUCCAUUGGCCAUUGCCACUUGCUUGUCGUUGUGAGGAGGGGCCGUGCCUCCACAGGCCCAUACCUGUAACCUGACGAUACUGUUGUGAGCGGGAAUGGAGGAAGUGCAUGGAAGCCCCUCAGCACGAUGCAUAGUGAACAGACAAGCUGUGAACCUUGGGAGUUAUCACCAUGUGUGAUGAUGCUGGUGAAGAAAGCCUGCACUGAGGAGGCUGUCAGCCUGGGUUUGAAUCCCCUCAUUUGGAAUAUAAUCUUGGCAAAGUC